RNAcentral lists this long non-coding RNA (548 nucleotides) under Mytilus galloprovincialis (Mediterranean mussel). The record is from RNAcentral. Lineage: Eukaryota; Metazoa; Mollusca; Bivalvia; Mytilida; Mytilidae.
UUUAUGACCAUAAAAGGAAGGUUGGGAUUGAUUUUGGGAGUUUUGGUCCCAACAGUUUAGGAAUAAGGGGCCCAAAGGGUCCAAAAUUAAACUUUGUUUUGAUUUCAUCAAAAAUUGAAUAAUUGGGGUUCUUUGAUAUGCCGAAUCUAACUGUGUACGUAGAUUCUUAAUUUUUGGUCCCGUUUUCAAAUUGGUCUACAUUAAGGUCCAAAGGGUCCAAAAUUAAACUUAGUUUGAUUUUAACAAAAAUUGAAUCUUUGGGGUUCUUUGAUAUGCUGAAUCUAAAAAUGUACCUUAGAUUUUUAUUAUUGGCCCAGUUUUCAAGUUGGUCCAAAUUGGGGUCCAAAAUUAAACUUUGUUUGAUUUCAUCAAAAAUUGAAUAAUUGGGGUUCUUUGAUAUGCCAAAUCUAACUGUGUAUGUAGAUUCUUAAUUUUUGGUCCCGUUUUCAAAUUGGUCUACAUUAAAGUCCAAAGGAUCCAAAAUUAAACUAAGUUUGAUUUUAACAAAAAUUGAAUUCUUGGGCUUCUUUGAUAUGCUGAAUCUAAAC